CAGCAGCCACGGUAAUACGUAGGGUGCGAGCGUUAAUCGGAUUUACUGGGCGUAAAGCGUGCGCAGGCGGCCCGUUAAGACAGAUGUGAAAUCCCCGGGCUCAACCUGGGAACUGCAUUUGUGACUGGCAAACUAGAGUAUGGCAGAGGGGGGUGGAAUUCCGCGUGUAGCAGUGAAAUGCGUAGAUAUGCGGAGGAACGCCGAUGGCGAAGGCAGCCCCCUGGGCCAAUACUGACGCUCAUGCACGAAAGCGUGGGGAGCAAACAGGAUUAGAUACCCCAGUAGUCCCUGUCUCUUAUAC
This 301-nucleotide ribosomal RNA is filed under the name uncultured bacterium. RNAcentral's name for it is "partial 16S ribosomal RNA". It matches the Rfam family "Bacterial small subunit ribosomal RNA", at positions 509 to 807 of the family's 1533-position model. The record is from RNAcentral.